CCUACGGGUGACUGCAGUGAGGAAUAUUGGUCAAUGGACGAGAGUCUGAACCAGCCAAGUAGCGUGAAGGAUGACUGCCCUAUGGGUUGUAAACUUCUUUUGUAUGGGAAUAAAACAGGGUAUGCAUACCCUCUUGUAUGUACCAUAUGAAUAAGAAUCGGCUAACUCCUUGCCCGCAGCCGCGGUCAUACGGAGGAUCCGAGCGUUAUCCGGAUUUAUUGGGUUUAACGGGAGCGUAGGUGGAGUGUUAAUUCAGUUGUGAAAGUUUGCGGCUCAAACGUAAAAUUGCAGUUGAAACUGGCAGUCUUGAGUACAGGAGAGGUAGGCGGAAUUCGUGGUGUAGCGGUGAAAGGCUUAGAUAGCACGCAGAACUCCGAUUGCGAAGGCAGCUCACUGGACUGCAACUGACACUGAUGCUCGAAAGUGUGGGUAUCAAACAGGAUUAGAUACCCUUGUAGUC
This 460-nucleotide ribosomal RNA is filed under the name uncultured bacterium. Its description in RNAcentral is "partial 16S ribosomal RNA". It matches the Rfam family "Bacterial small subunit ribosomal RNA", at positions 338 to 795 of the family's 1533-position model. The record is from RNAcentral.